RNAcentral lists this long non-coding RNA (252 nucleotides) under Homo sapiens (human). RNAcentral's name for it is "non-protein coding lnc-SMG6-7:1". The record is from RNAcentral. Lineage: Eukaryota; Metazoa; Chordata; Mammalia; Primates; Hominidae.
CGAGAGGGCGCAGGGAGUCCCGCUCCCUGGAGGGCCCGCCCCCUUGGAGGGGACCGGAAGCGCUUGUCCUGGCCCGGAAGCAGUGCUGACUCCGUACACGCGCGCUGCGGCAUGGCGGCCCACCGCCCCGGCCCGCUCAAGCAGCAGAAUAAAGCUCAUAAAGGCGGACGGCAUCGGGGUCGGGGAUCUGCACAGCGGGACGGCAAGGGUAAGGAGAUAACGUAGAAGGAAUAAGGGCUAUUUGGCCGUUAU